AUCUUCCGCAAUGGGCGAAAGCCUGACGGAGCGACGCCGCGUGAGCGAAGAAGGCCUUCGGGUCGUAAAGCUCUGUUGUGAGGGACGAAGGUAGCGCCGUUCGAAGAGGGCGGCGCGGUGACGGUACCUCGACGAGAAAGCCCCGGCUAACUACGUGCCAGCAGCCGCGGUAAUACGUAGGGGGCGAGCGUUGUCCGGAAUUAUUGGGCGUAAAGCGCGCGCAGGCGGUCUCUUAAGUCUAGAUGUGAAAGCCCACGGCUCAACCGUGGAGGGUCAUUGGAAACUGGGGGACUUGAGGGCAGGAGAGGAGAGCGGAAUUCCCACGUGUAGCGGUGAAAUGCGUAGAGAUGUGGAGGAACACCAGUGGCGAAGGCGGCUCUCUGGCCUGCACCUGACGCUGAGGCGCGGAAAGCGUGGGGAGCAAACAGGAUUAGAUACCCUGGUAGUCCACGCCGUAAACGAUGAGUGCUAAGUGUUAGAGGGGUCACACCCUUUAGUGCUGCAGCUAACGCGAUAAGCACUCCGCCUGGGGAGUACGGCCGCAAGGCUGAAACUCAAAGGAAUUGACGGGGGCCCGCACAAGCGGUGGAGCAUGUGGUUUAAUUCUUGAAGCAACGCGAAGAACCUUACCAGGUCUUGACAUCCCCUGACAACCCAAGAGAUUGGGCGUUCCCCCUUCGGGGGGACAGGGUGACAGGUGGUGCAUGGUUGUCGUCAGCUCGUGUCGUGAGAUGUUGGGUUAAGUCCCGCAACGAGCGCCAACCCUCGCCUCUAGUUGCCAGCAUUCGGUUGGGCACUCUAGAGGGACUG
This 810-nucleotide ribosomal RNA is filed under the name Geobacillus stearothermophilus. RNAcentral's name for it is "bacterial SSU rRNA". It matches the Rfam family "Bacterial small subunit ribosomal RNA", at positions 361 to 1151 of the family's 1533-position model. The record is from RNAcentral. Lineage: Bacteria; Bacillati; Bacillota; Bacilli; Caryophanales; Anoxybacillaceae.